CCUACGGUGGGCUGCAGUGGGGAAUAUUGGACAAUGGGGGGAACCCUGAUCCAGCCAUGCCGCGUGUGUGAAGAAGGCCCUCGGGUUGUAAAGCACUUUCAGUGAGGAAGAACGCCUGGUGGUUAAUACCCAUCAGGAAAGACAUCACUCACAGAAGAAGCACCGGCUAACUCCGUGCCAGCAGCCGCGGUAAUACGGAGGGUGCGAGCGUUAAUCGGAAUUACUGGGCGUAAAACGCGCGUAGGUGGCUUGAUAAGCCGGUUGUGAAAGCCCCGGGCUCAACCUGGGAACGGCAUCCGGAACUGUCAAGCUAGAGUGCAGGAGAGGAAGGUAGAAUUCCCGGUGUAGCGGUGAAAUGCGUAGAGAUCGGGAGGAAUACCAGUGGCGAAGGCGGCCUUCUGGACUGACACUGACACUGAGGUGCGAAAGCGUGGGUAGCAAACAGGAUUAGAUACCCUGGUAGUC
Molecule: ribosomal RNA, 465 nt
Filed under: Vreelandella stevensii
Lineage: Bacteria; Pseudomonadati; Pseudomonadota; Gammaproteobacteria; Oceanospirillales; Halomonadaceae
Description: partial 16S ribosomal RNA
Rfam family: Bacterial small subunit ribosomal RNA
Source: RNAcentral